Molecule: long non-coding RNA, 2281 nt
Organism: Oncorhynchus tshawytscha (Chinook salmon)
Lineage: Eukaryota; Metazoa; Chordata; Actinopteri; Salmoniformes; Salmonidae
Exons: 4
Source: RefSeq, a predicted model, not a curated record
UGGUCAGAGGGAGGUGUUCUCAUAUGUGUCUGGAAGCAGCUAGCAAGCUAGCCAGUUAGCUUGGGUGCUUGACUACCUUUGGGACCCACCCUGCUACUUGGACAGAGUGGGCAGUGUGCGCUCUAAAUUGGUCUGACUUUACCAACACAGCUGCAAAAACACUGGCUACGCGAGUACAUUGAUAGAAUGUGUAUGUCUGCUUUGAUGGCAGGUUUGAAACUUGUUAUACCGAAGCGUAGUGUGUGGGGGCAUUGGUCAUUGUAGGGGCGAUAGAGCUUGAAAUUGGCUAAAUGUACGAAAGGAAAAGUGUUAUAUUUGGUGGGGAUAGAAUCAAAAGCGAUAUGACUACUACCCAUAUCUUUGAAAAUGGGACCAGUAACGAUUCCCGGUUAUUUUACAUAGGGAUUGGUGUGGAACUGAUUUUGACGAGAGCAUGAACAACGUUAACAAAUAGUCCAACUUUGUAUCAUGCUUCGUUGAAACAAUCGCUAAGGAUGUACAUUUGAGGGUUCAGUAUGUAGGAAAUGUGUUAUUUGCGUAAAAAGACAAACUCAUAUGCCAGACAUCACCACAUGAGUAAAGUAUUUGGCAGAGCAGGGUCACAAAGCAUCAUAUUGGAAUGUACAAUCAGCGAAGCAAGAGAACAUAUUUGGGGAUUUCGAUUUCGGAAGUCACGAAGCACAUGACCGAGUAGGAACAAUGCGUUCUUUGGCACGACCAAACACUCCUCGCAGACUCAGGAAAACCCUAGGGGGUUUAAUCUCGUGAGACAUUUUAUUUUGGUUUACCCUGAAUAGAUGUAUAGAAUUGACGAAAUUGAGGAGGGGUCACAAGAAGACAAAAACGGUUCAUUAUUUCCCGAGGUUGUUGCCUGGGAGAGCAGUUCAUGAAAUUCUGUUGUUUUAUAAAGGUGUACUGACCUGGCCGUAUAGGGAGCUCCCAGAUAAGUAAGUCCUGGCCAUUUCUUUGUUUUUGCCCUACGUUUUACCACACACACCAGCACCAAAACUCAAAUGUUAUCAAUAUGUGUUAAGUGGUGUUAAUACUGUUUGAUCUAUUUAGUUGUAAACUGGGUACGCAGAAUGAUGGAAAUGUUUGAAAUGGUUCUAAAUGGUUUCUGAGAUACAGGGAAAGAAAAGGGGGAACAAAACACUUAAUGCGUUUGAAUGACCUUUGUGACUUCCUGGUGAAGCCUGAUCACCCUCACUAGAAAGACUGCAGACAUCGGGUGAGAUUUAAAAUGGGCUAUGUAAACACUAAUAAUUAUGAAGAAGCUUAUAAUUUAGCAAUUGUCCUAUGUGUGAUUUGGAACAUGAGAAGGAGAGCGAAUGAGCAGGCAGUGUUUUUAAUACCCGGGGGCCCUUUGAUUGGAUCUGCUGCAUGGUCGGGAUUUCUCCUUAAGGGUUAGGCGAUAGUGACUACAGAUGGUAUUUUGAUGCAUGGAAGGAAUAAAUCGACAAACCGUGUGAACACCCCCCCCAACUGGCUGAAGAAAUGGUGACACGUGUUCACUACGACCCUGUCCUGCACCACUUCUACCGUGAGACCUGAGUCCAAGCUAGCAACCUGUACACAGCAUCCAGUCGAAGUUUUCAACUGCCUUCUUCUCUCAUGCCAUUUUCUCUCAGGAGUGCGACAUGAGUCCACGUGGAGUGAGCUCCUGUCCAAACUCCUAUCAUGCCGCUGGUGUACUGGUAGACAAAUGACAGUGGCGGCUCAGGUGAGAGACAUUAUCAAGGGCCAUCCACUUUGGGCAUGUGCCAUUGGAGGACAAACCGACGCUAUCUGAAGAAGAACAUGAAGACACGCCAGAAGGAUGAGUGCGGGGGAAGAGGGGGUGGUUAACCGUGCCGUAAUUAAUUUAGGCUUAUCCUAAAUUGUUUAUUUGGUAUAUCAGGUUGAUUGUGGAUGUCUGGACACUGCAAAAUGUAUAGUAAUUUAGACUAAGAAUGCAUUGAGACACCAAUCUGUCAUUACCACAAGUGUUGAGAAUAGUUAAUGCUGGGAAUAUGAAAUGAAUAUACUGUUUAUCUGCUGACUGCCACGUAUUCAAAAAAGAUGUACUUCUCUAUAAAAGCUGAGACCCGACACUUUUCGUUGGGCCUUAACUGCGCAACUGUUGAAGUGAAUAGUUAACUUCUCCAUUUUUGCUAAUCUUAUAAUAAAGAAUACAGUCUCUCUCCUUUUGGUUAGAAAUGGCCACAAUGUCUCAAAGCUCAAGCCAACUAAAAGGUGGCAUAAUGUCAGGUGAAUCCUCUUACUAUAAACUUAGUCCCACCUA